Long non-coding RNA from Pan troglodytes (chimpanzee), 1717 nucleotides. RefSeq lists it as uncharacterized. The transcript has 2 exons. Lineage: Eukaryota; Metazoa; Chordata; Mammalia; Primates; Hominidae. The record is from RefSeq and is a predicted model, not a curated record.
UUCGUGCUUUCCCCACUUAGCCACAGGCUUUAUAGCCAAGGCCUCCUGCCCCUCCCCCAGGCUCUCUCCCUCUAUCUUUUUUUAAUUGAGUGACAGCGGGUGCUGGGGUGGGGGAAUGGAAAAUCUGGCCAUUAGUAUCCCUUAUUUAUCAGUAGGCAAAGACAGGAACCUGGCAGGUGGGUAUGGCUUGGCCUGCUCUCUUCUCCCUCUCCCUCUCAGCUCACCUUAUGUUCUCCCCUUUGUUUCCCACCCAAAUUCCCUAGCUCCACUGGGGGAGAGUGUGGAAGGGGCCCCAGGGCAGGCAUCUUGAGAUUUAGGAGGGUGGCCUUCUGAGAUUUAAACAGGAGGAGAUGUGUGUUGAAAGGGGAUGACUGCAAAAAGACUCAGGCCAUUUGCUUUGGGGGAACGUGGGUUCAGGAAAGGAGGGGUCCUGGAAGAGGUGGGAUCAAAACUGACAAUUUGGGGAGUAAGUGUGUGAGUUAUGACUCAAAAGCGGUGGGUGCUGAUUUGCCUGUUACAAAGCCAUAAUGUAAUGUCAAAUCGAUCAGGAGCCUCCCUGAGUAACAAUAGCUGCCAUUUACUUAGCUCAGAGAUUUUGAAAUAGGCCAGGCAGUGGGUUUAGGGGUUUAAAUGAAAUCAGAUGUAUGCUUGCCACAGCCAUGGGAGGCGAUGUGUAUUAUCCCAAGUUACAGGUAAACUGAGACUCACAGAAGUGUGCAGAGCCGGGAUUAAAAUGCAGGCCUUUGUACUUCAGGCCAAAUAUUCAACCUCCAUGCUAUGUGCCCUCACAGUCAGUCUUUUAUUCUUCUUAACAAAUAUUUGUUGAGUAUCUACUCUAUGCCAGGUGCUGUUUCAGGUACUGGGAAUAUGGCAAAAGAACAAAGCAAAUGAAAAUCCCUGCUGUGAUGAUUUGUGGAGCUUGAGGAACUGAACAACAAAUAAGAAAUUGUCAAAGUGAGGAAGAGUGAAGGUUUAGAAGAGGAAAGGAUGAACUAGGAUACAAUAGAAUGAGAUAUGCCACCUCCUGGGUCUGCUGUUUUACCUAGUGCCUCUCUAGCCGCUGGACGGGAGAUCUGCAGAGCCUUAUGAUCUUGUCUGUCUCCGACUCAACCAAAUCAGAGGCAAAUGGAAAAAUACUGCCUCAGAACAAAAAUGUGCACAUAAUUUGAAUGGUGGAAGCUUGGGAUACACUUGCAAAGAGAAGAGGCAGCUCCAAGUCUAUUUAGGCACAGCUCUUAAGUAACAAGAGAGGAGGGCCAAAGGCAGGUGUCCACUAGGCUGGGCUCUGAACUCGGAAGUGGGGUAAGGGGAAAGACAAGAGUCCCAGGGAGGUUGGAGACUGUGGGAUUACGGGCUCCCUUCACCCAGGAACCAAGGAGCUGGGGCAGAGGAGGAUUUUAAGGACAACUUUGGAGUUAGAGGAUAAGAGUUUGGAGUUGGGAUUCUGCCCUUUCAUGCUGAGUUUCUGCACAUGGCCAAAAAUCUCUUUAGCUUGGCUCAUGCUGUAUCAGGUGGUCGUGCUAGCCCAGGGCUUGGGACACUGCCCAAAUUAAGCUUUCUUCUAGGGCUAAGUCCUAAGCUAGAGGCAUGGGUUAGUGGCUCCAGCUUGCCUUGGGGAGGUCAAAGUAAUACCCUAGGCAUCAUACAUCUUCUUGGAGGUUCCACCUAACUUCUAGAAUUAGCUGGUAAUGAAUAAAAUUGGUAGCAAAUAUUACAA